RNAcentral lists this ribosomal RNA (253 nucleotides) under uncultured bacterium. Its description in RNAcentral is "partial 16S ribosomal RNA". It matches the Rfam family "Bacterial small subunit ribosomal RNA", at positions 524 to 776 of the family's 1533-position model. The record is from RNAcentral.
UACGUAGGGGGCAAGCGUUGUCCGGAUUUAUUGGGCGUAAAGAGCGUGUAGGCGGCUUUACAGGUCCGUUGUGAAAACUCGAGGCUCAACCUCGAGACGCCGGUGGAAACCGUAAAGCUAGAGUCCGGAAGAGGAGAGUGGAAUUCCUGGUGUAGCGGUGAAAUGCGCAGAUAUCAGGAAGAACACCCGUGGCGAAGGCGGCUCUCUGGGACGGUACUGACGCUGAGACGCGAAAGCGUGGGGGGCGAACAGG